This is a long non-coding RNA of Ailuropoda melanoleuca (giant panda), 7114 nucleotides long. RefSeq lists it as uncharacterized. The transcript has 3 exons. NCBI's taxonomy places the organism in Eukaryota, Metazoa, Chordata, Mammalia, Carnivora, Ursidae. The record is from RefSeq and is a predicted model, not a curated record.
UACAGGACUGACAGUGACAACUGUGGAUUGAACAAGUUCUUUUUAAAAGGACUGUUUUGAAGAUUAUGAUUCUGACUUUGGAGGAACUAUGGCGACUGGCAGCAUAAGGAAUCACAUGUAAAAUUCCUUAAAUAAAAAUUUAUUACCUUUAAAUAAUUUUGCCUAUGUUACACAUAAUUUAAAAAAAAAGUUACACUUUUAGUAGAAAGUCAGCAUGUAUUUUUGGCUCGAAGUUUCUCUAGUGUUUUCUGUGGAGGGAAUUAAAAAAAAAAUUUUAGCAGUUAACGGUGCAGUAUACCCUAGACAUGGAAGAAUUGUAGGGGGCCUAGCUCACCUUAUGAAAUUCUUUUGCCCUUGCUCUGUUUUGGGCAUAUGCGUCUUGCUUUGCUUUCUCUUCCCUUUGCUGUUUGACUUCAGCUAAUUGAUUAUAUGAUCUGUAAGAAAUUUAUACACAGAAUUAAGGACACACAUUUUAGGAAUGUGAAUUACUGUUCAUUCACACACACAUACACACCUAUACCUUAGGGUCCUUUGAUGCAUGAGGGCUUGCGCAGCCUUUCUGUCUUCAGGAAGUGACACUCUAACCUUAACCUUAUUCACACCCUUCAGGCAACUCACAGAUGAGCCUGAGCAGAGAACAAGUGACUUGGCAAAUGUUACAAUGCUACUACAUUUUCUUUGUCAGAACUGAUGCAGAUUGUGUGGAACAUACCUGUAGGUUUCUCCUUAACUAUGCUGAUUUGAGAAUUUUCAGGAAUACGAAUUUUAUUCUUUAUUUCUUUUUGUCUCUGGGAGGAUCUCUCCAUAAAUGAUUUUUUCCUCUUUAUAAAUGCUUCUUGUAAGCUCCCAGGUAGAGCUAUGAUCUUUGGAGAGGUUUCUGUUUAAAAAAAAAAAAAAUUGAAGCUUAUUUGUAUUGUGCCAGCAGUUGUACAAGAUUGUGGGGCAGGGUGAACACUGGAACUGAAUCAGGAACUCUGCUGGCCAAUGGUUAACACUAACCAUUUCAGAUGCUCAAGGGCAUACCUGCAGACACGAUCACUGGCUCCUCCGUGCAGUGUUCGGAUACAUCUGGACAAUCCAAGGUUUCUGUUUCUGAUACAAGAGGCAGAAAUUCACUCACCUAAUUGCAAAAAAAUUAUAGAUGAAUUUACCACCUUUUCACCUCACUGAACAGAAUCACAAGCAUAGGUUCUAAACCUUUACAGUUUUGUUUUUUUUUUUUAAGAUUUUAUUUAUUUAUUACAGAGAUAGAGACAGCCAGCGAGAGAGGGAACACAAGCAGGGGGAGUGCGAGAGGAAGAAGCAGGCUCAUAGCGGAGGAGCCUGAUGGGCUCGAUCCCACAACGCCGGGAUCACGCCCUGAGCCGAAGGCGGACGCUUAACCGCUGUGCCACCCAGGCGCCCCCAAAACCUUUACAUUUUCUAACCCCUGGUUCCCUUUGGUAGACAAAUGUGGUCUUCAGGGGGAGGGAGGCAGUUGGAAUGCCUACUCUCUAAUCCUCAAAUACAGUAUGGGAAUCUAUGUCCAAUAGACUUAGCUCCCGUUCUUUCACUGCUUUGUGCUGGUUCUCACAUCUGAACUGUAGGACUAAGUUUUCUGGGAAGGCAGAGUUUUUGAUAAAUGACUUAUUCUUACUAAAAUGCUUUACCAGACCAGCCCACUCUAGCCAAAAGCUCCCCCGGCACCCUGAUUCUUGUCAAGUUCUUCCAUUCCACUUCUGCAUCUGCUCUGCUGCUGUCCUGCCUCCCCAAAUUACUCUUCUCAGUAAUCAUGGCAACAAGUAUCAGGCCACAAAAGUCCUACUACUUCUCUGUAAGAGGGAAAAUUAAUACUCUGAAUCAGACAGCGGGUGGGGAGUUUCCAGCAGCAGUUUUGUAAUCAAUUCAUCUAUUCUAAUCUAGAAUCCUUACUAAGCUAGAAUUAAAUUUGCGGCAGAAUUCCCUCCAAUGACUACCUUCUAAGAAGUGAAGUGAGCCAGCAGGAAUGGUUUAGCUUGCCAAAGUGGAGAAAAGUAUAAAGGAACCUGCCGCUAAUAGAACUUAAAACCUAUUUUAGUGUUAGUUUUAUAACUUGAAACAUAUCCUCAUUUUUUUCUUCAGGACUGACAACACAAAAUAAAGUAAUAGCACUCAUUCUGUAUCCCCCUCAGGUCUGGUUUUACCUGUCUUCUAGAACUCUGCUGCCUCAAAACUUGUUUGAAUCAAUUCAUUCAUGAGUUCUACAGCAUCAUUAAGAUGAAUAGAUGUCCUUAGGACUAUUCAACGGCACAAAACAAUGCUACUGGGCAGUUUUGAGAGCCGGUCCCUUUUCCUGUCAGUUGUCAAUUGCUCUAAGCACAGUAACCCCUCCUGUUCACUGGGUAGUUGACUGCAUUUGCACCUAGGAAGGGGAAGUAAAUUACGUUUGCAGACAAUUCUAAUGUGGAAACAAAGUGGGAAAAGCUUACUGUUUCCCUAGUCUCAGCUAUGUGCUGCUGUAUAAAUGAGGUGUAUUCAUAUUAAAGGGAGCUAUGAAAUUUACCUGAGAACUGCUUUUUGCCUCAUUUCCUUUAUUUUCUUCUAGGGUUAGAUUUGCAAAAUCCAUUUCAGCAAUACUGAUAUCACUAGUGCUUACUAAUGUAAGCUCUGGUUCUUCCAUUAUACCAUGGCCAGACUCUGUCUCCUGUGCAAUAAAAUUCAAAAGGAAACCAUACCCUUAAAACAUUAAAAAUGUAAAAAUAACCUACAUUACAGAAGAACAGUGGUCUGCGAAGAGCAUGGUGGUGCCUCCCCCACCCCAACCCACUUUUAGAAACACUUAAGCGACUUUGUGGAUGGACAAAAUAAUGAUACUGUCUGAAAACAGCAAGGCUUAGAAGUCCAAAUGCUCAUUAUGGGGCUAUCAGAAAGUAUAAAUGCAGGUUGACUGGGGGCUGUGCAGAACCUGAGGGGGUAACCUAUUGGAGCAGUGGCUGGUGGGGUGCAGCCAAAUGGAGGCCACUGCUGCCAAACUACAAUUUUAGAGGGAAGUAUCUUUAAUUACUGAACAAGAAUUUGCAAAACAAAACCACCCCAAAAGCCACGGAAUAAAAACACAUCUGUGGACUAGAUGUCACUCUUCCUCUCAAUAUAAUUUCUAGUCUAUAUCUGUAGAAGGACAAACAAUACUAGAAGGUAAAAACUACAUUCAAGUGACUGGACUGGAAACCAAGCAGAUUAAUCCAAUGCAGGGCAAAGAGGCUAAAGCAUAGGCCAAGCCAUUAGAAAAGGGAUGUGAACUGGGAGUAGAUCUUUUGCUGGAGAUUUCCAAUGAUGACAAGACUGACCAUCUCAGGAACACAGCAAGUAGUUGGGCAGCUUGAAUUUUAUUUCAAAAGACUUCCCUAGAAAUGAAUUUAUUUACAUAGAACAGAUUUCACUUACCCACAUUGGAAUAGAGCUCUGUAAUGAUCCAGAACUUAAAAACAGCUCUGAUUGUGCUAGUUGAGAAAGGUUUCUUGGGAUUUUUGGAGUUUCUGCUUUAGCUGAAUACUCAAAAUAUUUUUCAUUCUGAACAGAAUAUGGUGCCUGAACUGAAGUUCCCAUCUCCACUGUUCUGGUGCAGGAUUGAGAAUCCAUUUCCUCCACAUUUGAAUUUAAAACCCCAUGGGUUUCAUUUUUUUCUCCAUCGAGUCCUCUUUCUGAUGAUUCUUCAAAACCCAGUCUUUCUUUUCUGCCUUCUGGUUGAGCUUUUACUGAGUACUCACUAGAGGCAGACCCACAGGGAGUGCUGUACUGUAAACUUAGGGGGUGAGAUACAUUAGCCUCAUCAGAUGAACUGAAGACUGAACUCUGUAAACUUCCUACACAGAGGUGGAAAUGAACACUUUUUUUCUUAUUUUGUAUUUCAGUCUGUUCGGAGUAGUAUUGAUUUUCCAUGCCUUGGUAAGAAUCUCUUGCUUCAAUGCUAAAAAUACUUGGUAGAUCAACAUGCUGGCUCCCCUCCUGAGAAGAAAAUUCUGGCAGAAGCUGUUGAAAAGAUUGUUCAGAUCCUGUAAGAAUUAAGUUAACCAUAAUUACGUGUUGUAAAACCUGGAUACAGAUACAAUCUCUAAUGGUCUGACUAAAUUGCAAGUAAUGAAGUCAGAUUACUUCCUACAAUUUGAGGAGUGAAAGUUGAUGUAUGUAUACAUGAACAGAAAACUAAAAGGAUGGUCACAGUGAUUUUCAAAUAAUUCUGCUCCCACCAUGUAUUUUCUCCUAGUCUAAUAAGAUACGGUUAUUAGACAUGAUGAGGACUCUUCCCUCCUAAGAGAGAAUAUUGAUUUUAAAAACAGAACUUAGUCUGUGUAUCUCAUAUAAAAAUACAUAUGUAUAUGUGUAUACAUAAAAUUUGUUCAAGAAGUUUUAGAAGGAUACUGAAAACUUAACCGUAAGGGUUGAGGGUAAGGAAGUUGAGGAACAAGAGGCAGCACUUUUGCUUUUUAUUUUAUCAAGUUAAGAACUGUAAAAAUGCAAACUGAGCAUUAUUACUUCUGUUACUGAAGUGAGUACACAGAGAAACAGAAGCUGUAACACUGGGAAUGGGUGAGGACAGGAGUGGAGACAUACCAGGGGCUGCUACGUACAAUUUCCAAGAAAAACGGAUGUAAACCAGGGAAAAGUAUUUUCUAACUUAAUCAUACCCUCAGUCUUUUCUGUAGCAAAUAUCUGAGCUGCAGCAUGAGCCAAAGGAAGGUCCGGUUGCUGGUUCAGGCUUGUGUUAGAAUUCAGGCUGGUUCUCAGUGCUGUAAAGGAAACAGUACUUCCGGAUGCUCCAACAGCAUGGUGGCUUUCACAGGAAGAAUCUGAGUUCUGAUGGAAAACAACAGGGAAAGGCUGAAAUACUGAUUAUGUAUUACCAACUGGAUCAAUAGUCAUGCUCCUAUGAUACCACUCUUCCUUAAUUACCACUUUACUUUCACACUAAUAAUUUGCUUAUUUAAACCCAAUUCUUCCAUUUCAGUCAAUAUGAAAGAGACUUUUUAAAAAAAAGAUUACUUAGAAAACAAACUGCAAAUUAACCAGAUAGUUCAGCGUGGGAUGUCAGGGUAUGGGAGCCAAAGACCUAGGUUUGAAUCUCAGCUGCUUUAUUACACAGGAAGAGGCUUUAAGUUUUGUAAAAUCAGCAAAAAAAAAUUAACAAUAAAAAUAUUCUUGAGCCUUUUAUAGAUUAUACUUAUCAGCUGGAGAGAAGGUUGACAGGACAAAAUUCUAGUACAGAUGGUUUUCAAUCUUCCACAUUAGAAUCACUAGGGGAAUUCAAAAAAGGUUUGCAAUAAUCUAAGCACUCCUAGAGAUUAUGAUUUAAUUGGUCUGGGUACAGCCUGGGCAUUGGGAUUUUUAAAAGCUUUCCAUGUGAUUCUAAUCAGCAGCCAAGGUUAAGAACCACUGUUUUAACAGAAGAAAAGAUAAACUGUUUUUGGAAAUUCACAGCAAUGAAGUAUCUCCAUUUAAAAUACCUGGUAAAAGUCUCUGCUGUCUUGAGAAAUCCCAGAGUAUGAUGAUGAUAUAUCAAAAUCUGGAUGUGGUUCUAACGGUUUAAAUAGCUGACGAUGCAAAUGUGGAAAAGUGUGUUCCAAUUCUGGAAAGUCAAGGUCAACUGUUGCAAUUUUGAGAAAAAAAGGAUCAAUGAUUUAAAAAAAGAAAGAAGAAAAGUUCCUGUACAGGGUGUUACUAUGGGCCAGCCACUGGACUUCAUGUGUAUUAUCUCAUUUAAUCUCCGACAUCCCCCUUUUAACAGAAGAUGAAGGAUCAGCAACAUGUUCAUUGUCUCACAGCUAAUAAACAAUCAAACCAGGGACUCAAGGUCCGACCUUAUUCUCAAUAUUGGUAAAACUGCCUCAGCUGUUACAGCUAACUUUGCAAUGCUAAAGGAAGAUCUGUUCAUCUCUGCAACAUGUUCUUCAGUCUAAUUCAUUCCAGAUCUCCUCUCUUUCCAAAUGCCCUGUUUUCCAUGUAUUGUGUCAUAACUGCCACAGAAGGCCAUAAAGACAUGAAGCUCAAACAAUCCUUAAAACUAAAAGGAUGAAAGGUUAUACAGAGGUAUUGUUCAAAAUAAUUUUACCCUCAAGUCUGUUUUUUCAGCCAUCAAAUUUGCUUCACUUAUGUGCUUGUCUAUCAUCUGCUGCACGUGUGUCUUACCAGGUGUAAACUUUUCCACUGCAGGCAACAGAGGCUGAUGAACUUCCUGAGAGUCCUGCCUUUGACAAAGAACUUGUGAUGAAGGAAGUAUAGAACUUAAAAUAUCUCUUUCGUCUUCUUUACCGGUGGUAGAUUCUUGUUCCCUGGGGUCCACAUGCUCUGAAAAUGACCCUGAACAUUGAGUUUAAUGAAAAUACUUAAUGCUGCCACUUCCUUAGAGACAAGUUUUGGUAGAGAGGCAUAGCAAUACACACUGAGGAGGGAUCAGAGCAAUUAAGAAAUCUGCUCAGAUAGAUUCCCGCUGAAUGGGAAAAUGUGACAAUUGCAGAUAAAUCUGAAAAUGUUGGAGAACCACAGAGCAUCCCUGUGGGCCUGCAGGCCUGUGACUUCCAAUAAUGUUUACAGUAUCAUACUGCCCAUUAUCCUCCCAGGCAUGAAAAGUUUACCUCUGAGACUGGAAGAAACAGCCGCUCUCAGCACAAUGACAAGCUCUCAGUGUCUGCUCUCACCACUGUACUGACCUCAACUGAUGCCGGUCUUUCAGUUUACUAACAAACAUUCUGAUGUUAUUACCUGGAUCUGUAAGGCUCAGAUCUGUGUUUUCAUAACUUAAAAAGCUCCCAGUAGAAAUAGUUACUGAUGAUAAUGGCUCAUGAUAAAUCUCUUCUGUUUCAGCCUAAAAAUGAAGAGGAACAUUAGACCACAAUGUAGGAAGUAAGAGCUAGAAAAAAACCCAAAUCAGCAACAUUAGCAGUUAUCAAUUCUGAGCUCAGAUCAAGUGUAGAAACCUUCAUAGUUGUAAAGGUCAGUAGUAAAACCUUUUCAUCAUUGCUCAGAACUCAUUAGUCUCAUACACACACACAUCUCCCCCCAACCCUUGACCUCAUUUAUCAAGUCCUCAGACAGAGUCACACAGUCACCUUUACACACACACACACACACACACACACACACACACACACACACACACCCC